RNAcentral lists this ribosomal RNA (957 nucleotides) under Triticum aestivum (bread wheat). RNAcentral's name for it is "partial small subunit ribosomal RNA". The record is from RNAcentral. Lineage: Eukaryota; Viridiplantae; Streptophyta; Magnoliopsida; Poales; Poaceae.
AUGGCCGGCUUCUCGUACACGAGCCACGUUGCAGUUGCACUGGUUUCGGUGCUGCUGCUGAGCCUCGCGCACGGCUCACUGGGGCUGGGGGCCAGGAGGCUCAUGGAGCUGUACAAGCCGGACCCCAGCGAGCUCCUCACGUACCACAACGGCGCCGUGCUGCAGGGCGCCAUCCCGGUCUCCGUGCUCUGGUACGGCCGCUUCACGCCCGCGCAGAAGGCCGUCGUCUCCGACUUCCUCCUCUCGCUCACCACCGCCUCGCCGGCGCCGACCCCGUCCGUCUCUCAGUGGUGGAACACCAUCCACCAGCUCUACCUCUCCAAGGCCAAGGGCGCCAACGCCAAGCGCGCGACGCAGGUGGCGCUCGCCGGGCAGGUCUCCGACGAGCGGUGCUCGCUCGGGAAGAGCCUCAAGCUGCCCCAGCUCGCGGCGCUGGCGGCGAGCGCCAAGCCCCGGAAGGGCGGGAUCGCGCUGGUGCUCACCGCGGAGGACGUGGCCGUGGAGGGCUUCUGCCGGAGCCGGUGCGGCCUGCACGGCUCCGACGCCGCGGCCCGCACCGCGUACGUGUGGGUCGGCAACUCCGCCUCGCAGUGCCCCGGGCAGUGCGCGUGGCCGUUCCACAAGCCGGUGUACGGGCCCCAGGCGCCGGCGCUGGUGCCGCCCAGCGGCGACGUCGGGAUGGACGGCAUGGUGAUGAACGUCGCCAGCAUGGUCGCGGGCGCGGUCACCAACCCGUUCGGGGACGGGUUCUACCAGGGCCCCAGGGAGGCGCCGCUGGAGGCCGCGACGGCGUGCCCGGGGGUCUACGGCAGCGGCGCGUACCCCGGCUACGCCGGGAACCUGGCGGUGGACGCCACGACCGGGGCGAGCUACAAUGCCAACGGGGCCAACGGGAGGAAGUACCUGCUUCCCGCGCUGUUCGACCCUGACACGUCCACCUGUUCGACCUUGGUGUAA